Non-coding RNA from Odocoileus virginianus texanus, 1736 nucleotides. Lineage: Eukaryota; Metazoa; Chordata; Mammalia; Artiodactyla; Cervidae. The record is from RefSeq and is a predicted model, not a curated record.
AUGUGGCGCGUUCCCGGUCUGCUCUGCGUGCCCGUUGCAAGGAAGAGCAAGUUCUCCGGACCUUGGAGCAGGCCUGCCGCCUUCAUGUCCACUCUGCUCAUCGAUCAGCCCCAAUAUGCUUGGCUGAAGGAGCUGGGGCUCCGCGAGGAAAACGACGGCGUGUACAAUGGAAGCUGGGGAGGCCGGGGAGAAGUUAUCACCACCUAUUGUCCUGCUAACAAUGAGCCCAUUGCAAGAGUCAGACAGGCCAGCAUGUCUGACUAUGAAGAAACUGUAAAGAAAGCAAGAGAAGCCUGGAGCAUCUGGGCAGAUAUUCCUGCUCCAAAGCGAGGAGAUGUAGUGAGACAGAUUGGUGAUGCCUUGUGGGAGAAGAUCCAAGUACUAGGAAGCUUGGUGUCUUUGGAGAUGGGGAAGAUCUUGGUGGAAGGUGUGGGAGAAGUUCAGGAAUACAUGGAUGUUUGUGAUUAUGCUGUUGGCUUAUCUGGGAUGACUGGGGGACCCAUCUUGCCUUCUGAAAGACCUGGCCAUGCUCUCAUUGAACAGUGGAAUCUUGUAGGCCUGGGUGGAAUCAGCACUGUAUUCAACUUCCCUGUGGCCGUGUACGGCCGGAACAACGCCAUUGCCAUGAUCUGUGGGAUCGCCUGCCUUUGGAAAGGAGCUCCUACAACUUCUCUUCAUUAGUGUAGCUGUUACAAAGAUAAUAACCAAAGUUCUGGAGGACAACAAGCUGCCUGGUGCAAUCUGUUCCUUGACUUGCGGUGGAGGAGAUAUCGGCACAGCAAUGGCCAAGGAUGAGUGAGUGGACCUGUUGUCCUUCACCGGGAGCACGCAGGUGGGAAAACAGGUGGCCCUUAUGGUACAGGAGCGGUUUGGGAGAAGUUUAUUACAACUUGUAGGAAACAACGCCAUUAUAGCUUUUGAGGAUGCGGACCUCAGCUUAGUCGUCCCCUCAGCUCUCUUUGCAGCCGUGGGGACAGCCGGCCAGAGGUGUACCACCGCGAGGCACCUGUUCUUACAUGAAAGCAUCCAUGAUGAAGUUGUCAAUAGACUUAAAAAGGCCUACGCACAGAUCUGUGUUGGGAACCCUUGGGACUCUAACAUUCUCUAUGGGCCACUCCACACCAAACAGGCAGUAAGCAAGUUUCUUGGAGCAGUGGAAGAAGCAAAGAAAGAAGGUGGCACCAUUGUCUAUGGUGGCAAGGUUAUGGAUCGCCCUGGAAAUUACAUAGAACCAACAAUUGUGACAGGUCUUGACCAUGACGCAUCCAUCGUACACACAGAGACUUUUGCCCCGAUUCUUUAUGUCUUUAAAUUCAAGAAUGAAGAUGAGGUCUUUGCAUGGAAUAAUGAAGUCAAACAGGGACUUUCAAGUAGUAUCUUUACCAAGGAUAUGGGCAGAAUCUUUUGCUGGCUUGGACCAAAAAGAUCAGAUUGUGGCAUUGUAAACGUCAACAUUCCAACGAGUGGGACUGAGAUUGGAGGUGCAUGUGGAGGGGAGAAACACACUGGCGGGGGCAGGGAGUCCGGCAGUGACGCCUGGAAGCAGUACAUCAGAAGAUCUAUUUGUACCAUCAACUACAGUAAGGACCUUCCUCUGGCCCAAGGAAUCAAGUUUCAGUAAAAAAGUGCUUUAAAUUGACAUUUCAAGCUUUUUACGCAUUGUUGUAACUCUUUCUUCUGAAGAAGACAAAGAAAAUGAGUGUUUGCCUUGAAUAAAUGCAUCAUUUUGAAUAUGA